RNAcentral lists this transfer RNA (74 nucleotides) under Bradyrhizobium sp. C9. Its description in RNAcentral is "tRNA-His". Lineage: Bacteria; Pseudomonadati; Pseudomonadota; Alphaproteobacteria; Hyphomicrobiales; Nitrobacteraceae. The record is from RNAcentral.
ACGCCCCGUGGUGAAGAUCGCUGUUACAUCGUCUGUGAAACGAGAGGUCGCGGGUUCGAAUCCCGCCUGGUGUC